RNAcentral lists this long non-coding RNA (290 nucleotides) under Gossypium raimondii (Peruvian cotton). RNAcentral's name for it is "long non-coding RNA (GRAI_LNC010540)". The record is from RNAcentral. Lineage: Eukaryota; Viridiplantae; Streptophyta; Magnoliopsida; Malvales; Malvaceae.
AGAACAAAAAAAAUAGGAAAGAAGUAGCAAAAGUAAAGAUCAACAAAAGAAGAAAAAGUAAAACGAUUGAAGAAGAAACAAAAUUGAGAAAAGAUGAAGAAUAAAUAAAGAAUGGGAAUAGGAAAAAAUGUGAACAACGUGAGAAAGAAAUGGAAUUUUGGGAAAAAAUAAAAAUAAAGUAAAACUCCUCAUUUCCUUCAACUACCCACUAAAUCUCACAAAAUCUAGAGCACUAACCCCAUCCAACCUCCCCAUAAUUCCAAUUCCAUCCAACCACUACUACAUACACG